This 554-nucleotide ribosomal RNA is filed under the name uncultured eukaryote. Its description in RNAcentral is "bacterial SSU rRNA". It matches the Rfam family "Eukaryotic small subunit ribosomal RNA", at positions 21 to 566 of the family's 1831-position model. The record is from RNAcentral.
CGAUUGUAGUCAUAUGCUUGUCUCAAAGAUUAAGCCAUGCAUGUCUAAGUUCAAACGACAUCUGAACAGUGAAACUGCGAAUGGCUCAUUAUAACAGUUAUAAUUUCUUUGAUUGUUCCUUUACUACUUGGAUAACCGUGGUAAUUCUAGAGCUAAUACAUGCAAAAAGCUCCGACUUCAGGAAGGAGUGUAUUUAUUAGAUAAAAAACCAAUGCAGGAAACUGCUUGACGGGUGAUUCAUAAUAACUGUUCGAAUCGUAUGGCUUUUAUGCUGACGAUGGUUCAUUCAAAUUUCUGCCCUAUCAACUUUCGAUGGUAGGAUAGUGGCCUACCAUGGUGACAACGGGUAACGGGGAAUUAGGGUUUGAUUCCGGAGAGGGAGCCUGAGAAACGGCUCCCGGACCUACGGGACACAGCAGGCGCGCAAAUUACCCAAUCCCAACACGGGGAGGUAGUGACAAGAAAUAACAAUACAGGGCUCUUUUGGGUCUUGUCAUUGGAAUGAGUACAAUUUAAAUACCUUAACGAGGACCAAUUGGAGGGCAAGUCUGGUA